AGUAAAUUCAAAUUACGAAAGCAAAAAAUUAUGGCGGUAUUCUAAGCUUUUCAGAGGAAUUUGCUCUUUAAUGGAUAAAACACCUAAAUCUUACUUUGAUUAGUUAGAUCAGUUUGUAUACCACUAUUAAAAUAAUAACGUACAAUUAUUAUUUAAAUAUAUAAAGUAUUAAAGAUUAAGUCAAGGUGCAGCUUAAAUCAAAGUAUGAAGUGAAUUACAUUACUUAUUAGAGGGAAAAUAUGAAAAAGAAAUUAGGAUUUGAAAGUAAAAUUGAAAUAAAAAGUUAACUUGAAUUAAGCUCUAGAAUAUGUACAUA
This 316-nucleotide ribosomal RNA is filed under the name Dermacentor rhinocerinus. RNAcentral describes it as "partial 12S ribosomal RNA". Lineage: Eukaryota; Metazoa; Arthropoda; Arachnida; Ixodida; Ixodidae. The record is from RNAcentral.